AUACGGAGGAUCCGAGCGUUAUCCGGAUUUAUUGGGUUUAAAGGGUGCGCAGGCGGCCAUUUAAGUCAGCGGUUAAAUCGUGGGGCUCAACCCCAUUCUGCCGUUGAUACUGGGUGGCUUGAUUGCGGUCGAGGUUGGCGGAAUUCGUUGUGUAGCGGUGAAAUGCAUAGAUAUGACGAAGAACACCGAUUGCGUAGGCAGCUGACCAGACCGCAAAUGACGCUCAUGCACGAAAGUGCGGGGAUCGAACAGGAUUAGAUACCCUGGUAGUCCGCACAGUAAACGAUGAAUACUUGUUUUCGGCGAUAUAAUGUCGGAGGCAAAGCGAAAGCGAUAAGUAUUCCACCUGGGGAGUACGCCGGCAACGGUGAAACUCAAAUGAAUUGCCGGGG
RNAcentral lists this ribosomal RNA (392 nucleotides) under uncultured bacterium. Its description in RNAcentral is "partial 16S ribosomal RNA". It matches the Rfam family "Bacterial small subunit ribosomal RNA", at positions 523 to 918 of the family's 1533-position model. The record is from RNAcentral.